Molecule: unclassified non-coding RNA, 5386 nt
Filed under: Megachile rotundata (alfalfa leafcutting bee)
Lineage: Eukaryota; Metazoa; Arthropoda; Insecta; Hymenoptera; Megachilidae
Description: uncharacterized LOC100881302, transcript variant X2
Source: RNAcentral
AAAACAAAACAAUAUGGUCGCUAGUGCGCACAACUGGAACCAAACCGGAAUGCGUUGAUAAAACUGAAUCUUCAGAAAAGUGAUAAUUGAUUUCCGUCAUUGUCAUGAUCAUUGUACUGUUCCACGUGCUUUACCUCUUCGGAAAGUUUGUAUAUCAGAAUUAUCGAAUUAAAAAACAAAAAGCUAUAAGCAAUGAGGUGAUCAACACGCAAAAACCAUUAGAGAUUAGCGAAAACGAUUAUAGGAUGAGAGAUCCUGAAGCACCUCAGGAUUUCGAACAAAAAUCUAUUAAAUUUUUUCCACCAGCAUACGUGCAAAGAUACGUUGCUGUUAGUAAUGUGCUCAAUAGUCCCAAGUACCAAGGGAAACUAUGCAAGGCCGUUGAUUUCGGAUGCGCGGAACUUGAUUUUUUAGUUUACCUAAAAAAUACAACAGGCAUAAAAGAGAUAUUAUGCGUGGAUACUGAUAGAGUUUUGUUAGAAAGUUACAAACAUAAGGGAGGCCCAUUAAUUUCUGAAUAUUUACACACGAGAACAACUCCUCUUGUGGUUGAAAUAUGUGAGGGUAGUGUUACUCAUAAUGACAAGAAACUAGAAAAGACUGAUGCUGUAAUUUGCAUAGAAUUGAUCGAGCAUUUGUAUCCAGAUACUCUGGAGGAGCUUCCUUAUAAUAUCUUUGGAUUUAUUAAACCAAAAUUAGCCAUAAUAACAACUCCUAAUGCAGAUUUUAAUGUAUUAUUUCCAAACUUUUCUGGAUUUAGGCAUCCUGAUCAUAAAUUUGAAUGGACUAGACAACAGUUCCAGGAUUGGGCUGAAAAUGUUAUUACAAGAUAUCCAGAUUAUGUAGUAACUUUUGAAGGUAUUUGCAAAGGACCAGAAGGUUCUGAAGACUUAGGAUGUUGUACUCAAAUGGCAAUAUUUCAUCGACUAAGCGAAAAAGAUAGUUGUAAUACCGGCAUUGAGGGUUUAUUUGUAACUGUAGCAAAAUACGAAUAUCCGUUUCGUGUAGACAAUCGUUCUGACGAACAAAAAAUUCUCGACGAGGCUGAAUAUUACAUUAGACAUUUGUCCUUUCAAGAUAGCGAUAUGGAAGAGGAAGUACCGUUGACGAAAUUAUUGGACAUGUUAAAAUCAUUUCAUAUUUCUAUAGAAUUGUUACAAGCGAUUUUAGAAGAAGCUGGUUGGACGGUCACGAAUCGUGAAUUAGGACCGGUUGUACUUGUACCACCACAUUCAACAUUUUCUGACUACAGUACCGUGGGAGAAUCUUUUUGGUCUAAUGGCUAUAAUUCUAGCGAUGAAAAUGAGUGGAAUAGAGAUCCUGGACCACCUGCAAAUUCUAGAUUUUUAGAACCGGACCUCGGCUCAGAAAUUUGGGAUAAUGAGAACUGGAACGACGAACCGAGUAUCGUUAUUCCCCAAAAUAAUUCUGUCAUUGAAGACAAUACCUAUCUUUUUGACGAAGAAAACAUUUUAUCGAAUAACAUAUCAGAAACAAUAAGGGACAUUGAAAUCUCGGAAAAGUACAGUGAAACUAAUAGCGAAGGAACUUUAGCUCCGGAAUUCUCAUGUUCGAGUACCACUGAUCAUACAAGCAUCGACGUUCUUGAUCAUUCAUUUCAGUGUAAUUUACCAUCAGAUUUCAAAGAAUCUGCGAGGCUUCCUGAUUCUUCUUUUAAUACCGACGAAAGCUCAAAGAAUGAUUCCUUUGUUGAUUUACCGUACUCUUUAGAUACGCAACAAUCUACUUUGUCAGAUACCACAUCUAAACUUAAUCGAACGUUAGAUUUCUUGCCUUGCAUGUCCGUUUCCCGUGCAUCAACUUCGCCUGAACCAUAUCUUUUACAAACUGUUAAAAUGGACCAACAUUUGACACACGACAGUAUGUGCAAUCAAAGUAUGAGUAAUCACUGGAUGCUAAACAAUUCUCUUGAACAGACAAAUGAAUCAUUGAACAUUACUGCGAGUGCGAGUAAUGUCGAAGACAAGAAGUUAUUGCAAGAGAAUAAUUUUAACGAUAAUCUUCUACGUAAUAUAUAUGUAAAUACCUCGUAUAAAGAACCCGAGGAUUCUGAUUUCGAACUUUUAAGCAGUAAGGAAAGCGUGAGUCCAAAGUAUUCUAAUUCAGAUCAGGUGCAAAGUGUUCAACAAGAAUUACCAUUGAGCAGCAACACGUCGAUUAGUAGUUAUACCUUGACAGAAAGUCAACCACAAUUUACAAGUUCACCAAAAGUUAGUACGAAGGUGAAUACUGUAGAUAAGAAAAGAAGAUCUUUAGACUUAAACAGGCAAACAAAUAGUUCCAGCUCAUUAAAAGGACUACAGCAAUCUUGCUUAACUAGUCUCAGUAGCAAUAACUUGUUAGAAAAUAAGUGUGAAAUAUCUUUAGGAAGCAAUAGCAAGACUAAUUGUAACGAAAAUAAGAAGCCUUUUCGUACACACGAUAUAGAAAUAUUGGAAGAUAAAAAGGAUCUAACAGAUAAAUGUAACGAUGAUACUCUGGUAAGCAGCGGUGUAUCGAUGUCAAACGAGAAACAAAUGGCAAAGGAUUUGUCGACAAGGUGUUCUUUAAGCAGUAAUAACAGUGCAAAUAGACAUGAACUGAUACAAUUAGAUCUUGCUAGUACUCUUAAUGCAAUUAAGGAACAGCCAAAUUUCUGCGUUGUACAAACAGCAGAGCAAAAUGAGCUUGCCAUAACACAUACAAGUAGCUUAGAAUCAAUAAAUUGUGAUAAACAAGUUCCAGUAACUGUUAAAUCAGAACCUUGUCUGGAUUUUGUCAUUGACAAAAGUGAAGGUAAGACUGAGACAAAAUCCGAGUUGCACGAUAUUUGUAAUUUAAGAAGCGAUAAAAAUACAGAUACUACUGAGUCGUAUAAUCAUGCCAAAGAGAUUAGUAGUUUAGAAUGCGUACAUCUUGUAUCCAGUGUUCGAGUAGAGAAUACACAAAAUGUUCAAUCCACGUCAGUAUUAACAAAUGAAAAACAAAUUGAAUCUAACAUUGAGAAUCAUGAAUUCGCGUGUAAAAGCGUAAAUCCAAAUGAUUUAGAAACAGUAGAAACCAUUGAAUUGAAGAGUUCUCCAGAAACUGUGGAAACUCCUCCUAAAAGCUGGUCACCCGAAGUUAUGGAUUCUGGAUAUCCAAAUUCAACUUCGGCUCCAGAUAUGACACCAGAGUACGAUUUAUCGAGCAUAGCUCAAGAUCACAUAUCAGAUUCAGAGCCACCGAGUAUAGCGGAAGCACCGAGGCUCGAAGCACCCGAGAUAGUUGAAGUUGUAAACGGAGACCUUGUGAAUAACAACAGAGAUAACGAGGGUAACAACAUGAUCGCUGCAGAAUUAAACGACUUAGAAGAUUUGCAACCAUUAAUCGAUGUACUUGAAAAUGAUCUUGAAAACGAGAAUGAUAUUUAUGUUCUGGAAAAUGGUUUUCCCUUUUGGCUGUUAAGAAUACUUAACAUGGCCAACCCUAUUGAUGUUGAAAUGCAUAUGCGGGAUCACAGAGAAAUGAGGUUUCCAAACGAAGCAGCAGGUGACGAUGUGCGGUACAUGAAUAUAGAACAUGAUGAGGGCUUCAACAGUAGUUCUGCAGAGAACAGUAAUUUAGAAAACAACGAGAUGGAAAAUGACGGCAACAGUGAUGCUAGUUAUAAUAUUGAAAAUGAUAACGAAAAUGUGUCAAAUAGUGAUAGUGGAAGUGAAGAGUGGGCUGCUGCAGGUGAUUCGUGAUGCCAUUGAAAUGAUACUUACUUAAACGCGGUGUCACAUAUCAUUCUUUACUUUGUUUACAAAAUGUAAAGACAAGCUCUAAGUUAGUAGUUAGUAAAAUAAAAGCUGGAAGCGUAUUUUACAAGUACCUUAUUACAUGCAAUUCCAACCGAAGCAAAGAAAUCAAACCAAGAAUGUUUGAGGAACAGGAUGUACACAGGUAAAUUGACAAAACUAGAAACGAUGUUCUAAAUGGACGAUUUAUUUCCAAUAAGAAGUAAUAAAUAAUUUUUGUAUAAAAAUAAAUAUAAGAUAGUAUACAAAGCAACAUGGCUGAAUAAGCAUGAAAAUAUUUUAUUAUAAACAACACAAUUGUAGAAGUGUACAAAUAUUACAACAUAAAUAAUUUGAUAAAAAAAAUUUGAUCAAAAAUAGAGAAUUAUAUUAAUUAUAACGUGUAAGAAGUGCGUAUUGAUGGUAACAAAAAAAAAAUGCUAAUAAUUUUUGCUUCGUUAGCAGUUGUAAAAAAAUACCUGUGUUAAGCAUAACACAACCAAUCAAUGAAAAAUGUGCAACGGUACGAUACAAUUAUCAGAUUAAUUAUUAUUCUUGCAAGUCUGCUGAAUUUAAGGGCGUUCUAGUUUGAAACUAUGUACAAUCGCGCGAACAAUACUUUUGACAAGAAUACUUAUUUGACGUGAUACGACAUUGAGUAGGGAUAAACGUACACGACAAUAGCAAUGAUAUUAGCAUACAUAUAUUUUAUGUUUCAACAACUGGUUGAAAUCUUACGCUUGUGUAUAAUUAUCAUUGAAUUCGUGUUUUAUCAGCGCAUUUACACAGCUUGCAGCUCUGCUGAAUUUUACAGAGUGUCAAAUAAAUGAUGGAAUUAUACCGAGCGAAAUGCUGCGCGUAUAUAUAAAAUAGUUCAUUUAAAAAUUUAAAAGCUACAUAUAUGAAAAAAAAAAUCUAUAAGAUCGUUAAACUUUAUUUUUGAGUAUAUUAAUCACCUUUUAAUUACUUUUUCAUGUCUGUGUUUUGCUAUAAAAUCCUUGUCCUUUUUAUACGACGUUCAAAAUUUUAUAUCAUUUUCUUUAACACCUACCCGUUUUAAUUAAUUAUCUUUUAAUAGAGAGCAAUAUAAGUUGCAAAAUAUAUAUCAAAUAGUACUAACGAAGAAAAUUUAUUAAACAAAUUUUUAACGAGACUAGAUGAACUUAGUUUAUCCUUUACGCGACUUAAACAACAUCUAGUACGUAUAUUGAUGAACUAGCACCACAUUACUGACAUUAAUAGUAAGAUCAUCACUAUAUGGUAAUCAAUAAAGGAUUGACGAUUUUCUUAGCAAACGAGACUAGCAGAAAACGUUAUAUAGUUUGAUUUAAACUCAUAGUCUACUCUAUUUUAAUAAGUAGAGAAAUCGUGUAAUUACUAUUGAAGAUAUCUGUCACCCAAGUUACGUAAUCGAAGGAAUAGAUUUUUAAAAUGUUAUGUUUAAAGUAUCCUAAUUUUAACCAUACGGAAACGUAUACGUGUGUGGGAAGCUUCAAUGUAAUAAAAAUAAAUUUACAACCUCUCACCAAAAUUUUCUCAAUUUUAUACAGAUUGCACAUGCACACAAAAUACCAUAAUAUUGUUUAUAGUAUCAGGUGACUUGUCAAAUGGCACUGUAAGUGUUC